GGGAACAAAAUUUCAUUUGCCUCCAACACCUAGUCAGUUUCCCACGCAACAAUUCUCUCUCAAACCCUAGACACCAUGACACCCGACGAACACCCGUCCUCCUCUUCCUCAUCCUCCACCUCCGACCAGCACCUGACUGUUCUCUGUUGCAGCCACCGCCUCCACUCUCCUCAUUCUCCUUCUCCGCCUCCGCCUCCGCUAUCCUCCUCCUCCUCUUCCUUUGGCACACCUGUUCUCUCAUCUCUCUUCUCAAAUUCACCAGAUCCGCCAAAGACGCAGUCCACGCCGGAGCUCCGCCUUGCCCCUCCUCCUUCUCUUUUCUCCUUCCACCCCGGACGUUGCUCUAAAUUUUUAUUGAAAUUCUCUGUUCUGUGUUGCAGUGCUGAGAAGGCUGGGAGUGAAGGGCGUGGAGAUAAAGAAACCAGAGCAGCUCAAAACCGUGGCCUCACUCAUAAUCCCUGGAGGAGAGAGCACCACCAUGGCUAAGCUCGCCGAGUACCACAACCUGGUCUUUCUAUCACUCACCCAAACAGUCUCUAUUAUUUGUUGAUUUGUUUAAAGCUUUUUACUUUAUUACUCCUGGGCUCAAUAUGUAUAUGCCUGCUUCUACAAUUGUCAAUACUUUUAGUGUAUCAGUAAAUGGGGAUUAGAUGAAAAUGAGGACUGUUCUAGAAAUGGUGUAAUUUGGCUAUAUGGGUUUUGUUCUUUGGUGCUUUGGGUAUAUAGGAGUGGUGGAAUUGUGAACUAUAUCGGCUUGCCUAAUAUAAUCACAAAUGACACAGGAGAAUCAAUUAAGUCUUUUCAACAGAUUCUGAAGAUUGGUUUUGUCUCUCAUCUCAUCCAAAAUCUACAGUAUCCGACUGAGACCCAGAACCAAGUCAGUUUUGUUUUCAGAGGUUGCUCUUUGUGCGGCUAUUGUAGCUAAUCUCAACACGAAGAGUUGUAUACUUGCAUGAUUGAUCAUUAUACAAGUCCAGAUUACUGAAGGACCAAAUUCUCAGAUAAAAAGUUAUAUUUAGUUUGUGGAUCUGCCUGAUUGUGAAAUUGAUGGAGGGUGCGAUUAGGUGCUCCACCAACUAUGUUCCUCUUUCUCCGAUCAGCUUCCUGGAGCGCUCAGCCAGUCUACAGAGACAGACCCUCUAUUAUGUAUGGAGACAUCGUCUACACUUGGAGACAGACACUUGAACGAUGCACCAGACUUGCUUCUGCUCUUGCCCAACUUGGAAUUUCUCGAGGCGAUGUGAUUGGCCAGGGUCAUUUUAGGAAUUUCACUUCCAUAUGGGGCCCACCUGUGCUGAGUUGGAUCGCCACGUCAGCAGCUAACGGCAGAAAUUAACGGAAUCAUAACGGAUGGACCUAUUGGAUGAGAAAAUGAUAGUGUGGGGGUGUUUUUGAUGAAAUUGAAAGUCGAGGGACUGAAUUGAUGUGAGGUCCAUACCACAGGGUGGUAAACAGUAUUUAGCCCUAACUUUAGUAUACGAACUCGGAUGUUUACGUACCAUAUAUGCACGCGCUUGGUUUA
Molecule: long non-coding RNA, 1522 nt
Organism: Rosa rugosa (rugosa rose)
Lineage: Eukaryota; Viridiplantae; Streptophyta; Magnoliopsida; Rosales; Rosaceae
Exons: 4
Source: RefSeq, a predicted model, not a curated record